Molecule: ribosomal RNA, 260 nt
Filed under: uncultured bacterium
Lineage: Bacteria
Description: partial 16S ribosomal RNA
Rfam family: Bacterial small subunit ribosomal RNA
Source: RNAcentral
UACAGAGUGAGCAAGCAUUAUCCAUCCUAACUGGGUAUAAAGAGUGUGUAGGUUGAUAAUAAAUAAAAGACUAGAUAGAAAUUGCUAUGUUUGGGUAGUGGGUUCUAGUACCAAUUAUCUUUGAGAAGCAAAAAGGUUGUUAGAAUAUGCAGUGUUCAAUUGUUCGGGAAACUGUCGAUCUUGUAGGGACUACCAAUAGCGAAGGCAUUCAACCAGUUGCAUUCUGACGCUGAGACACGAAAUCGUGGGGAGCAAAAGGG